AUCAGUAACUCAGGCUGUUUCCCACACUACAGGCCAGCACCGUGGGCUCUCAGUUUAUAGGGAAAUGGAAAUAAGAGGGAAGGACAAAAGUCCACUGGGAAGCAGACUGGACAGAAAGGAACUCUGAGCAGCUAAACUCUGACUAAUCCCAGGGUAUACCUGCAUUUUCUCUUCACCAGACAAACUGCGGCCUGGACCAGCUGGUGAAACAAUUCUGAAUCCUGCCCACAGCCUUCGGUGGUUUUGGAUGAAAGGCCAGCGCCUUGGGAGCCCUGCGUUUGAUUUCAGGUUUUAAGGCCGGCACUGGUGGAGCAAUGAAUGGUGAAAGCUCUCCCCUUAAAGGAGCACAAUUGCCUUUAGGUGACUGCUAACUCAGGCUUUUGCUGAGGACAGUGUUUACUUUGUGAGCUUAAUGACAGGGCUGGCUUUCUGGGAGUGUUGCAAUGAAACAGACUCAGACACAGGCCAUCAUGGACCUCCUCCCUAGCAAGGCUGCCAUGGCUGGCAUCUCAAGAGCAGUCCAUUGAACUUGGGAUUUGGGUGUGAGACACAGUUUCAUCAGAAGAAUUUAAACCAAAGUCUACAUUUGCCCUCUAGAUAAAUGUGUGUGUUCAGCAGCAACCACAACUCCUUGCCUCAUUCUCUUGGUUGAUUAUGUGACUGUGAGAAGAAAAGCAAAAGCAAAAGUGAGAAGCAUAGCUAUGAUGCUAUUUUAGUUAAAAAU
This 724-nucleotide non-coding RNA is filed under the name Pongo abelii (Sumatran orangutan). Lineage: Eukaryota; Metazoa; Chordata; Mammalia; Primates; Hominidae. The record is from RNAcentral.